This 73-nucleotide transfer RNA is filed under the name Humisphaera borealis. RNAcentral's name for it is "tRNA-Phe". It matches the Rfam family "tRNA". Rfam says of the family: Transfer RNA (tRNA) molecules are approximately 80 nucleotides in length. Their secondary structure includes four short double-helical elements and three loops (D, anti-codon, and T loops). The record is from RNAcentral. Lineage: Bacteria; Pseudomonadati; Planctomycetota; Phycisphaerae; Tepidisphaerales; Tepidisphaeraceae.
GGGCAGAUAGCUCAGCUGGUAGAGCAAUGGAUUGAAAAUCCAUGUGUCGCCGGUUCGAUCCCGGCUCUGCCCA